Bombus impatiens (common eastern bumble bee) is the source of this 729-nucleotide long non-coding RNA. RefSeq lists it as uncharacterized. Lineage: Eukaryota; Metazoa; Arthropoda; Insecta; Hymenoptera; Apidae. The transcript is spliced from 3 exons. The record is from RefSeq and is a predicted model, not a curated record.
AGAAUAAUAAAUAAAAAACUCACCGGCGGUAGGAAAGUAUCUCUCAAAAGGUCCGCCGCGUUUAAUCGGUGUAAGCGAGUGCGAACGCGUAGAGGCUACUGCCACCUGCAACGCCGUCUCCAAUUCUCUGGCCAACUAAAGGUGGCCGCGACAAGCGAACCGACGAAUAAAAAAAAACAGAAACUAUCUUGUUACACCAAUCGUAACAACUCUCUUUUUUUACGUAUGAAUCAAGUCAUUUUCCCUUUGCGGAAAAACUAAAAAGUAAUACCGAGGGGGUGGGGCGGGAGGAAAAUACACGUUGACCGGAAAAAAAGUAAUCGACCGAAGCUGUUGUCUUUAGAGUGCAACGGAAACGAUUCGCACAUUUUUAAAGUGCUAUAGAUAAACUAAUAGGAACUAAUUGGGGAGUGGUUUCUACCUGAUAGUGUCAGAUAGAGGUCAUAUAUGGUUCCUCGCCUUACUGGUGGCAGGCGCUUACUGCGUUGGCUGUUCAGAGCCAUCGCAACGUCCGCUUCCAGCGUUCAGCGGCAAAAAUCGGCAAACGAAAAAUCACGGUUUAACGAAUGCAAAAAUCUUCACGUUUUUCAUAUUGAACAAAUCUUUUUGAGGACAUCUUUAGCACAGUCAUUAUUAUAAUAUAUCAUAUGUAACAAGAUGUACCUUGUAAUGACCCCAUGUUUGAGAGAUACAAAAGCUGAUUUUGUACUUGAUAUUCAUGAGAGGCAA